RNAcentral lists this long non-coding RNA (303 nucleotides) under Trifolium pratense (red clover). Its description in RNAcentral is "long non-coding RNA (TPRA_LNC004128)". Lineage: Eukaryota; Viridiplantae; Streptophyta; Magnoliopsida; Fabales; Fabaceae. The record is from RNAcentral.
ACGGAUGCAAUUGACAACCCUAUUAGCAUGAUCAUCCUAAUACAAGCAGGUGCGAUAGACUAUACCAAGUAAGAUCACGUUACCUUCUCUAAAUAUAUGUGAAAUAAUAAAAUUCAAAGAGCCUAAUUUAGAGAGAGCAUUGAGCCAUUUAUUCUCGAUCUGCCGCCAAGGGACAAUGUGAGAGACUUGAUAGCCAAUGAAGCAAGCUUUGAAUCAGUUUCAAUCCACAAGUUAUUCUAAUGCUUAUCCACAACAAAUUCAAUUGCUAAAAUUACACUUAUGAUUUCUGCAUAUAGAGCAUUA